GAGGGUAUAGCUCAGUGGUAGAGAGCAUGACUAUCAUGCACAAGGUCCUGGGUACAAUCCCCAGUACCUCCA
Molecule: transfer RNA, 72 nt
Filed under: Camelus bactrianus (Bactrian camel)
Lineage: Eukaryota; Metazoa; Chordata; Mammalia; Artiodactyla; Camelidae
Also listed under: 2 other names
Rfam family: tRNA
About the family: Transfer RNA (tRNA) molecules are approximately 80 nucleotides in length. Their secondary structure includes four short double-helical elements and three loops (D, anti-codon, and T loops). Further hydrogen bonds mediate the characteristic L-shaped molecular structure. tRNAs have two regions of fundamental functional importance: the anti-codon, which is responsible for specific mRNA codon recognition, and the 3' end, to which the tRNAs corresponding amino acid is attached (by aminoacyl-tRNA synthetases). tRNAs cope with the degeneracy of the genetic code in two manners: having more than one tRNA (with a specific anti-codon) for a particular amino acid; and 'wobble' base-pairing, i.e. permitting non-standard base-pairing at the 3rd anti-codon position.
Source: Rfam by way of RNAcentral